GCUUUAUAUUGCUGGGAUAUUGUUUUACAUGGGGACAGUACCGUUUGAUGUUGUUCCUAUUAUCAGGCACCGUCCUGCUCCUGGGUCUGUUUACCGGAGCCCUCAACUCUAUGAUAAGCUUCGACCUGAAAUGGACUCUGAUAAUUCCACUGCUGAUGCGAUCUCAACAAUUUGGAAAAACUCUUAUAGAGGUGGUGAAUGGAGACCAUGCA
This 212-nucleotide unclassified non-coding RNA is filed under the name Hevea brasiliensis (rubber tree). Lineage: Eukaryota; Viridiplantae; Streptophyta; Magnoliopsida; Malpighiales; Euphorbiaceae. The record is from RNAcentral.